Molecule: long non-coding RNA, 723 nt
Organism: Megalopta genalis
Lineage: Eukaryota; Metazoa; Arthropoda; Insecta; Hymenoptera; Halictidae
Source: RefSeq, a predicted model, not a curated record
UUCCUCAUGGAAACCUCAACGAAGGAGAUCUCUAUAGUCCAAUGGAUGGAGCAGUUCCAAUUGACCAUCCGCAUCAAAAGCUAGUGCGAUUAUAAUGCAUUAUCGCUAUGUCCCGGAAGUGUAUAUUUGUAACCGCAGGACACCGCCUGUGCGAAGACUGUUUACCUCCAGCUGGACGAAGAGGCCCAGAGCCUCUACCAAGAAGGAGGUUGGCACUCGCUUGGAUCGCAUCAAGUUCGCUUCAAGGCUACACAUUGCCACUACGGCAACGUACACAUCGCUUAUGCACGAUCAGUAUGGCGAUGCCACGAACGCGUCGAAGAACAUUUCGAGGUGACUUCUGAGGACUGGACAAGAAUAGACGCAAACGUGCUCGUCGACUUUAUAACGAGAUUGUAGAACCCCAUCACAGGAACAACCUGCAACGAUCCAUUCGCCACAUGGACGUACAUUGUCGUGUAAGCAGCGAUCUUUCCAGCGGAAAAAUCUACCUCCAAUCCGGACAGUUCUGCCCACUGCAGAAAGGAACCUGUUUGCAGAUAGUGCUCUACGAAGGAACAGCCGCGAAGAUACAACGGGUAACGAAAGUAAUCGAACACUAUUACAACUUUGACUUUCUACGCCAUAUAUUUAAAUAAAUAUACAUUGAAGGAAGAAAUACUUCUAUCGAUUUAAUGUAAAUCGUUAUCUACAUAAUUAAAAAAUAUAUUAAGAAACAUCGAA